RNAcentral lists this ribosomal RNA (324 nucleotides) under Triticum aestivum (bread wheat). Its description in RNAcentral is "partial small subunit ribosomal RNA". Lineage: Eukaryota; Viridiplantae; Streptophyta; Magnoliopsida; Poales; Poaceae. The record is from RNAcentral.
AUGGGCAGCGGGAGGCCGGCUGCGUGGCGGACGUGCGCGGCGGCGGCGGUGGCUGCGUGCGCCGUGCCGGUGGCCUUGUCACUGGUGCUGCUCUGGCUGCCCCUGCUUUGCUGCGCCGUGGCCGUGGUCCGGUUCCGGCGGGCGAGGAGGAGGAUGAUGCAGAUGUGCGGCGGCAGCACAAGAGGCGGCGGGCGAUUUGGGGCGGUUGACGCCGGCGAUCGGCUGGGGCUGCUGCAGAAGUACCUCGAGGACCAGCUGGAGCUCGUCGGCGCGGAGGCAGGGGGGCUCCUCCGCGACCUCAGACAAGGGAAGUGCAGCGGUUGA